This is a ribozyme of Xenopus tropicalis (tropical clawed frog), 312 nucleotides long. It matches the Rfam family "Nuclear RNase P". From Rfam's summary of the family: Ribonuclease P (RNase P) is a ubiquitous endoribonuclease, found in archaea, bacteria and eukarya as well as chloroplasts and mitochondria. The record is from Ensembl. Lineage: Eukaryota; Metazoa; Chordata; Amphibia; Anura; Pipidae.
GUGGAGGGAAGCUCAGUGCUGAGGCUACAGACAGAGUGUAGGGGUCACUCUAUGUGCCUCAGGGAAGGUCUGAGACUGGAGCUCCUAGUUGCCCCUGCAGGGCAUCCCUUGGAUGAAGGGGGUGGUUUCCCAGAGAACUUGGCUCUGAUUGCCCAGUGAGUGCAAAAGAUGCAGCAAGUACCCAAUGUUGUGCUUCUGCAGAUGCAAAGGCAUCAGGCUUGGCACUGCCCCACAGCUGGCACAUUCAAGCUCAAUGGCUGAGAGGGAACUGCCUGUGGUUUCCCAACCCAAUUCAGACUACUCUCCCUCCAC